RNAcentral lists this long non-coding RNA (1095 nucleotides) under Marmota monax (woodchuck). Lineage: Eukaryota; Metazoa; Chordata; Mammalia; Rodentia; Sciuridae. The record is from RNAcentral.
UGGUAUUGAUAAUAGUGUAGCAAUAGGAAAUGCUGUUAAGAACACAUCUUGGAGAAAUGACAUACUCUGCAAUAGAUUAUGCUGGGAAAAUUGCCCAGCCACAUGCAGAAGAAUGAAACUAGACCCCUUUCUCAUCAUUACGAAAAUUAACUUAAAUAUAUAUAAAAAAUUGUCAAGCUGAGGUGACAAAUGCUUUAAUUAGUUUGAUUGAAUCUUUAUACACAAUCCAGACACCACAUUGUACCUGACUGUUUGGAAUGAAACUCUUCCAAGUUUCUCCAUCACUUUAUCAGCUAGCCACUGAAGGCCAGGACAGAAGAGCACCAGCAUAGGAUCUAUUGACACAGGUGUCUUGCAGGGUGGCCUUGUCCUUUCACAGAUCUGAUGGCAGGCAUGACUUCAGGGAUACAACUCAAGGCUAAAGUUUGGUAAGACCCAAGUCAGGAGUGGGGCACACCUGGAGAGCACACAUAUAGAAUUUAGCACAGGCAGGGAGGGAGAAAGAAGAGAACAUAGCAAUCAGCAGUAGAUAUUGAGGAAUGGGUGUGAGUCACUUUAAUUUCACGGGUAAAUGCUUGAAGUGGGGAGCCUGGACUGCUAAGCAGGAGAGCUCUUAUUUCUGACUACUCAGGCCAUUUGGGUAUGAUUUAAAACUGGUAACUGUCAAGAAUGAAAGCCCUGCCUCUGGUAAAGCUAAAUCUGCAAAGUGGAUGCUGAGGCAACACAAAAUUAUAAAUGUUCACCUCACCUAUAAGUAGACAUGAUUUUUGUCAACUAAAAGCAAAUUUUAAAAAGCAGAUGAGAAAUUCAAGUAAUAGUUGGUAUUGCCUUUUGACAAUAAAAUCCAGAGGGGUGGAAACAGUCUGUUGCAGUCUUGAAUUUCUUCAUGAAAUAUCAGUCUCUGUUUUUAAGGCCUUUGAUCUAUCUUGUGUUUGACCAAACAGCUGGGUACUGCAGCCUAGCAUAUUGAUACACUUAGCCAUUAAAUUCAUAUUCUUAAAUUUUUGACAAAUUUUAUUAUCACUUUUUGAUAAAUUUGUUACCUUUACUUAAUUAUAUGUUUGGUAUUUCUUAACCUUUUCUGUUUUUAUCCUG